This 3721-nucleotide long non-coding RNA is filed under the name Homo sapiens (human). Its description in RNAcentral is "HSALNT0136556". Lineage: Eukaryota; Metazoa; Chordata; Mammalia; Primates; Hominidae. The record is from RNAcentral.
UCUCAAUAUAAGCAUUGAUUAUAUUGUAGUCUUUUCUAAGAAAAACAUAAAAUCCAGAGCUCAUAAAAUAAAAUUUUGAUAAAUUGAACACAACUGUAAAAAUAAAUUUCUGUAUCACAUAAAGAAUAUCAAUUACAAAUAAUUUUAGCUAACUUACUAUGUGUUUAUAUUUAUAAUAUUUAUGACAUUAUAUUCUGUAUGCUAAGGAAAUAGUUCAUUCAAUCAUUACUAACAAAAGGAUAGCAGUGUUUAAAAACGAAAUAAGCUCAUUUCUCAUUAAAAACAUUUAGCUCUUUUAAAUCAGUUUUUAAAAUCUAUAUUAGCAAAGCUCUAAAAGUUUGAUAUUACAGAAUAUUAACAAGGUAGACAGAAUACAUUAUCUCAUGCACAUACCCUUAGGAGGGUAGCAUGAUAACCACAGAAUACUUAAAUGCAUAUCCUCUUUUCUACAGCAGUUCUAAGUCCAGAAAAUUACAGGACUAAUGUAAUCACAUGCAUGCAGCAAAAUAAAUCAAUAAAUAGUGAAAACAACAGAAAACUGAAUUCUCUGCAGCUAUGAAAAAGGAAAGUUCUGUGGGUACUAUAUCUACUGCUAUGAACAUAUUUCCAAAAACUGUAGACAGAUCAGUCUCAAAGUGCAGAACAAGGUGUCCCUCUGUACGCAGUGCAAGGUGUGAGCACAGGAACCAGGGCCUGGGCUCUGUCUCCCUAAGUGGACGGACGGCCAGGCAUGGAAGAGACUCACAGCAAAUGCAGUGUUUGAAUUUUACUAUCAAGCAUGUGUGGCUGUGAUGCACACACACCAAUAUGGGUUCCUAGGGUGUGGUGGUGCAUGCACUCUGGGAGAAGGACCUGCCUCCCCCAUCGUGAUGCACUGCUUGAACCCACUCUUGCUGCUAAAGCUGAUGGCCAAGAUGAACACCUGAUUACCCAUGGCCCAACUCAAUUCUCUCUCCAACAAAUGUAUAAUUGAGAGUAAAAGGGAGCAACUGGGGUGUGUUAAAUUGUUACUUAACCCAAGAUGCAGAGUGCAAUUGGUUGAAAACAGCUCAAGGAGAGAGAGAAAUGUGGUAGGGAGUGCAUGGGGUGGAACUGACAUGAAUUGAGAGAAGCAGGAGGCAGGAGCCAGGCAGUACAGGUAGCUGGACAGGGGCAUUCUGGUUUCUAAAUCCACAGUCUUUAGUGCCACUCCACUGAUUUCCUUUCCAAAAGCUUUGAUGGCCUUUCUUUUCUAUUGGGCAUCCUUCUGUCCUUUAACAAAUUUCUUUUCCACCCAGACUAGCUCAGGUGCAUUUCCAUUCUUUGCAACCCACACAUCCCUGACUAAGCUUGUAGUAUCACUUUUUCAUUUUUGACACUUUGUUGUAAAUUGCCAACUACAGUCUGAUUUUCCCCGUGUGUAUUUUUAUUACAAAGCUUACACUCCAUCCUUUGAGUGUUACUAUCUUAAAUACAGUAUUUAGCUAGGAAAUUAAAUCAAUUUUAACUAAAAUCAACAUAUUUGUCUUUCUUCUCAAAAAAUAUUCUCCUUCUACAAUCCCCCAGCUCCUGAAGGAAAGUCGUUAUCUUCCCCCAGCUUAAAUCUCAGCCAUCUUUGGGAUCUUGCAUUGCCUCAUUUCCUUGGCACCUGGAGGAGCAAGAAUCGGAGUUGAAGAAACCAGAAAAUCAGAUUUUUUUCUAAACCCAAGGAAAACCUUCUCCUCAUGUCAAACAACAAGAGCCAGACAGAAGAGUUUUAGACAGUAACCACUCUACUUCAUCCAGAUACCAUAGAAAAAGUAUGAACCUAUCCACAUCCAACAGCAAGGGUGUUCCUCUCCUAUCUGGUUGAGUGCUAUCAGAAGAGAUCUAUGUGAGAGUGAAAAUUUUAAUCACUGCCCAGGGGUAACACACACUCCCUGUGGUGUCUGUGGAAGACACAUGGAGAGAAAUAAUAGAUACUUCUGCUUCUCCCAGCCAGGUUAGUAUCAGUAGAAGCUUCAUGGGCUGCCAAAACUCCCUCCACUGAGCAGAAAUAAGGAGACCCCUAUAUUGAAUGUCAAUGAAGGCGAAGCAGAAAACUUGGACAUCUACACCCACCUGACAGUAAUGGGACAGCAGCUUCCUCCCUUACCAGAGAAAUCUCUCAGAGAAAGCUAGGUAAAAGACAAGAUUUACAUAAGAUGCACAGUACCCAAAUUUCCAAGUUUCAGUUGAAAAUCACUCAUCAUAUCAAGAACCAGGAAAAUUUCAACCUGAAUGGAAAAAGAAAAUUAAUACAUGCCAGUGUCAGAGGCAUUUGAACCAGAGCAACUCCGUCUUGAAUAAGGGCUGAGUAAAAUGAGGCUGAGACCUACUGGGUUGCAUUCCCAGGAUGUUAGGCAUUCUUAGUCAUAGGAUAAGAUAGGAGGUCAGCACAAGAUACAGGUCAAGAUACAGGCCACAAAGACCUUGCUGUUAAGAAAGGAUGUGGUAAAGAAGCCAAAACCAAGAUGGUGAUGAAAGUGACCUCUGGUCAUCCUCACUGCUCACUAUAUGCUAAUUAUAAAGCAUUAGCAUGCUAAAAGACUCUGCUACCAGCACCAUGACAGUUAAUGAAUGCCAUGGCAAUGUCAGGAGGUUACCCUGUAUGGUCUAAAAAGGGAAGGAACCCUCAGUUCCAGGAAGCGCCCACCCCUUUCCUGGAAAACUCAUGAAUAAUCCACCCCUUGUUAACCAUAUAAUCAAGAAAUAACUAUAAGUAUAUUCACUUAUAUCCACUUAUAUCCACUUAUAUUCACUGGAUAUCCACUUAUAUCCAGUAUAUUCACUUAUAUCCACUGCCUGUGGAGUAGCCAGCCAUUCUUUACUCCUUUGCUUUCUUAAUAAACUUGCUUUCACUUUACUCUAUGGACUCAUCCCAAAUUCUUUUUGCAUGAGGUCCAAGAACCCUCUCUUGGACUCUGAAUCCAGACCCCUUUCUGGUAACACCAGCACUGAGAUAACAGAGAUGUUAGGAUUAUCUGACAAGGAUUUUAAAGUAUCCUGAUAAAAAUUAUUUGAUGAGCAAUUGCAAACACACUUGAAAAUAAAAAAAAAAAUAGAAAGGCUUAGCAAAAAAAAAGGAGAAAGUUUCAGAAAAGAUAGAAGAUAUUUUGAAGGGCUAAAUUGAAAUUCUAGAACUAAAAUUUACAAUGACCAAAAUUCUUAAAAACAGCAAAUGAAAGCAAAGGAGGAGAGAACCAGUGCAUUUGGAGAUAGAGCAGAAAUUAUCCAAUAUAAGCAAGAGUGAGAAAAUAGACUGAAAAAAAAAAGAAACUCUCAGAGACCUGUAGAAAACAACAAAAAUUCUAAUAUUUGACAUCAUUGAAGUUCAAAAGAUGAAGAGAAAGAGAGCAGGACUGGAAAAGUACUCUAAUAAAUAAUAGCUAAAACUUCCCAAAUUUGUCAAAAGACACGAAUAGAUUCAAGAAGCUGAACAAAUCCCAAACAAGAUUUUCAAACAAAUCUCAAAUGAAGUAUUCACAUCAAGACACUUUUUUAUUUUAUUUUAUUUUAUUUUGUUUUAUUUUAUUUUUAUUUUUGAGACAGAGUCUCACUCUGUUGCCCAGUCUGGAGUGCAGUGGUGCCAUCUCAGCUCACUGCAACCUCUGCCUCUUGGAUUCAAGCAAUUAUCCUGCCUCAGCCUCCCGAGUAGUUGGGAUUACAAGGCACAUGCCACCACACCUGGCUAACUUUUGUAUUUUGAGUAGUGAUGGGGUUU